UGGGGAAUAUUGCACAAUGGGCGCAAGCCUGAUGCAGCCAUGCCGCGUGUGUGAAGAAGGACUUCGGGUUGUAAAGCACUUUCAGCGGGGAGGAAGGCGUUAAGGUUAAUAACCUUGGCGAUUGACGUUACCCGCAGAAGAAGCACCGGCUAACUCCGUGCCAGCAGCCGCGGUAAUACGGAGGGUGCAAGCGUUAAUCGGAAUUACUGGGCGUAAAGCGCACGCAGGCGGUCUGUCAAGUCGGAUGUGAAAUCCCCGGGCUCAACCUGGGAACUGCAUUCGAAACUGGCAGGCUAGAGUCUUGUAGAGGGGGGUAGAAUUCCAGGUGUAGCGGUGAAAUGCGUAGAGAUCUGGAGGAAUACCGGUGGCGAAGGCGGCCCCCUGGACAAAGACUGACGCUCAGGUGCGAAAGCGUGGGGAGCAAACAGG
RNAcentral lists this ribosomal RNA (429 nucleotides) under Chloroflexota bacterium. RNAcentral describes it as "Chloroflexi bacterium partial 16S ribosomal RNA". It matches the Rfam family "Bacterial small subunit ribosomal RNA", at positions 355 to 776 of the family's 1533-position model. The record is from RNAcentral. Lineage: Bacteria; Bacillati; Chloroflexota.